Molecule: ribosomal RNA, 430 nt
Filed under: Bacillota bacterium
Lineage: Bacteria; Bacillati; Bacillota
Description: Firmicutes bacterium partial 16S ribosomal RNA
Rfam family: Bacterial small subunit ribosomal RNA
Source: RNAcentral
UAGGGAAUCUUCCGCAAUGGACGAAAGUCUGACGGAGCAACGCCGCGUGAGCGAAGAAGGUCUUCGGAUCGUAAAGCUCUGUUGUCAGGGAAGAACAAGUACCGUUCGAACAGGGCGGUACCUUGACGGUACCUGACGAGGAAGCCACGGCUAACUACGUGCCAGCAGCCGCGGUAAUACGUAGGUGGCAAGCGUUGUCCGGAAUUAUUGGGCGUAAAGCGCGCGCAGGCGGUUCCUUAAGUCUGAUGUGAAAUCUCGCGGCUCAACCGCGAGCGGCCAUUGGAAACUGGGGAACUUGAGUGCAGGAGAGGGGAGCGGAAUUCCACGUGUAGCGGUGAAAUGCGUAGAGAUGUGGAGGAACACCAGUGGCGAAGGCGGCUCUCUGGCCUGUAACUGACGCUGAGGCGCGAAAGCGUGGGGAGCAAACAGG